Molecule: ribosomal RNA, 679 nt
Filed under: uncultured marine Syndiniales
Lineage: Eukaryota; Dinophyceae; Syndiniales
Description: SSU rRNA
Rfam family: Eukaryotic small subunit ribosomal RNA
Source: RNAcentral
AUUACCCAAUCCUGACACAGGGAGGUAGUGACAAGAAAUAAAAAGCAAGUCUCUCAGAGGCGCUGCGUUGGAAUGAGUAGAAUUUAAAUCUCUUUACGACCAUCAAUUGGAGGGCAAGUCUGGUGCCAGCAGCCGCGGUAAUUCCAGCUCCAAUAGCGUAUAUUAAAGUUGUUGCGGUUAAAAAGCUCGUAGUUGGAUUUCUGUCUAGGGUGGCCGGUACCCACUAUGUGAAGUAUCUGGUUCAGUCUGGGCAUCCUCUUGGGGAUCGUUCCUGUGCUUGAUUGCAUGGGGCGGAAUUCAAGACUUUUACUUUGAGGAAAUUAGAGUGUUCACGGCAAGCUUUCGCUUUGAAUACAUUAGCAUGGAAUAAUGAUAUAGGGCAUAAGUUCUAUUUUGUUGGUUUCUAGAACAUAUGCAAUGAUUAAUAGGGAUAAUUGGGGGCACUCGUAUUAACGCGUCAGAGGUGGAAUUCUUAGAUUGCGUUACGACGAACUACUGCGAAAGCAUUUGCCAAGGAUGUUUUCAUUGAUCAAGAACGAAAGUAUGGGGAUCGAAGACGAUUAGAUACCGUCAUAGUCUAUACCAUAAACUAUGCCAACUAGAGAUUGGAGGUCGUUUUUUUUAUGACUCCUUCAGCGCCUUAUGAGAAAUCAAAGUUUUUGGGUUCCGGGGGGAGUAU